Long non-coding RNA from Papaver somniferum (opium poppy), 1798 nucleotides. RefSeq lists it as uncharacterized. The record is from RefSeq and is a predicted model, not a curated record. NCBI's taxonomy places the organism in Eukaryota, Viridiplantae, Streptophyta, Magnoliopsida, Ranunculales, Papaveraceae. The transcript has 5 exons.
GGGGGAAGCUGGUGUUGAUGAAAACGAUGAAGUUCCUGACAUCUCUAAAUGAGAAUGUAUAAUAUGGCUUGUAAUUUUGACAGCUUAAGUGGAUCUCAGUCCUCUGUGAAUACCUGGUUCAAGUGACAAGAAUUAAUUUGUCGAAACCAUGACUCAAAGUUGGUUCUAUUGCAAGUGAUUGCUCAUCGUUUUUUAAGCACGGGGAUAUGUACGUACUACCUAAAGAUGAUCGAGAAGAAUAAGCAAUUCAACUGUUCUGGCGAGCAUUAAUGCUUGCAGUCUCCUGAAAGCUUGAGAAAGGCUCUUAGGGAGAUCAGUUCCAUGUGCGCCAAACAAGAGUCUUUCUCAAGCUUUACAAAGAUGAUUGAUCCAUUCAGAAACCUGCAACUGUUGAGAAAUGCUGUGGAUUUUCAAAGCAAUGGUUUGACACUUGGCUUGCAGGGUGUAAUGAAGGUCAAAGAUGAUAGAUAGUCCCCAACUUAUGUUGCUAUGCUUGCAGCCCAAGAUGCUGCAACACGGUGUAAGAAGAUGGAUAGCGUGAACGACGUUUUGGCAUAUUUUUUCGGAACCCCUUAUGGAUAUGUUGCAUGUUAUGUGGACCUGAAUGUUGGAUUUUCUGGAUUUUUACAACGGUGUACAUAGUUGUACACAACAGUGUAAAUUAGAAUUCUACAAAAAUGAAAAUUACAUAGUCACAUGGGUACUCUUUUUGUAGAUCUCGGAAAGAGCUUUCCAAAUAUAUAAAGUUUGUGAAUUUUUGACCGGAUUAUUUGUAUAUUAUUGAAAAUUGUUGACGUCAUCGUGGAUUAAAUAGACUAAAUUGUAAACAAUAAGGAUUAUUAGUGUACUUUCUCAUACUUUGAACUAAUUUGUACCUAGUUGACCCGCUGGACUAAACCGUAUUUUUAUUUUACUGUAAAAAUAAAUAUGCAUGGUGUGGGUAUUCGACCUCACAGCCUAUAACUCAUAUGCUAGGCCUUCAACCAUCUGUACCAGCUUCUGUUUGUGUUGGUGCAGUAAUAUUCGCGCAACUUAUUAUUUUGUUGACGCCCUAGCUUUAUUUGCCGCUUAUUCCUCUUUCUGGGAUAUCAUUGCCUUUGUUUCUGCUGGUUCAUCUUUGUGUUUUAGUGUUGCUGUCGAAUUGCUUGAUCAGAAACAUCAUUUUCUCACCUGUUUUGCUAUGGAAUUCUAUGUUUUUGCUGGUAAAGUUUUUGCUUAGUCCCUUGCUCAUGAUAGGUGUUUACAUCUGCUCCUGUACGUUUCAUGCUGUGAUUAAUAAUCACCCACCAAACCUGAAAAAGUUAAUUUUCUCAUGUGUAUUAUUUGCGUUGUUCGCAUGCUGAUUAAUUUUUUCGAGAUGGUUGGUCUUUAAGGAUUGUUUCGCAUAGUUGUGUUGGCUCAGUUCUCACCACGUGUUGAUUUGGUUCCGUUUUCUCCAUUGACUUUUGAUUGUUCUCGUGUAGUCUGUUCCCUUCCAUCCUCUCCUUUUAUCUUCACUCUUUGUUUGAGCUUUUUCUUUGUCCCUUUUUCUUCUUCUUUUCCUGUUUCUUAGCAUGCCCUAAAAUCUUUGUUUGUUCUGGUUGUCUUUUUCGCUUCGUCGUCACCUGUUCGUCAUUGUUUAUGCCUUGCUGGUCUUGAAUUUAUUCCUUGGAUGUUGAUAUGGCUCAUGAUUUACGAUUAAUUGCUGGGACUCUGCUCAUUACUUUUUAAUUAGCACUGUCGUCAUUGGCUUUACGUUUCUUUGAUGCGUUUUCUUCGCUUGCAGCAUAGAUCUGCUAUUCCUCUCCCUCGUCUGUAU